GACAGAGGGUGCGAACGUUGCUCGGAAUUACUGGGCGUAAAGCGCGUGCAGGCGGCCCUGCACGUCCGGUGUGAAAGCCCGGGGCUCAACCCCGGAAGCGCGCUGGAAACGCGGGGCUGGAGGGCUGGAGAGGCGGGCGGAAUUCCCGGUGUAGAGGUGAAAUUCGUAGAUAUCGGGAGGAACACCGGUGGCGAAGGCGGCCCGCUGGACAGCGCCUGACGCUGAGACGCGAAAGCGUGGGUAGCAAACAGG
This 252-nucleotide ribosomal RNA is filed under the name uncultured bacterium. RNAcentral describes it as "partial 16S ribosomal RNA". It matches the Rfam family "Bacterial small subunit ribosomal RNA", at positions 524 to 776 of the family's 1533-position model. The record is from RNAcentral.